Molecule: transfer RNA, 73 nt
Filed under: Gemmatimonadaceae bacterium
Lineage: Bacteria; Pseudomonadati; Gemmatimonadota; Gemmatimonadia; Gemmatimonadales; Gemmatimonadaceae
Also listed under: 2 other names
Description: tRNA-Thr
Rfam family: tRNA
About the family: Transfer RNA (tRNA) molecules are approximately 80 nucleotides in length.
Source: RNAcentral
GCUGACGUAGCUCAAUCGGCAGAGCUCCGGUUUUGUAAACCGGCGGUUGUGGGUUCGAUUCCCACCGUCAGCU